This 524-nucleotide ribosomal RNA is filed under the name uncultured delta proteobacterium. RNAcentral's name for it is "bacterial SSU rRNA". It matches the Rfam family "Bacterial small subunit ribosomal RNA", at positions 35 to 531 of the family's 1533-position model. Lineage: Bacteria; Deltaproteobacteria. The record is from RNAcentral.
GCUGGCGGCGUGCUUAACACAUGCAAGUCGCACGAGAACGUUUCAGCUUGCUGAAACUAGUAAAGUGGCGUACGGGUGAGUAACGCGUGGGUAAUCUACCUCUGAAUUGGGGAUAACAUUGCGAAAGCGAUGCUAAUACCGAAUAACAUCUCAAUAACUUCGGUUUUUGAGAUCAAAGGUGGCCUCUCCAUGGAAGCUACUGUUUGGAGAUGAGCCCGCGUACCAUUAGCUUGUUGGUAGGGUAACGGCCUACCAAGGCGACGAUGGUUAGCUGGUCUGAGAGGAUGAUCAGCCACACUGGAACUGACACACGGUCCAGACUCCUACGGGAGGCAGCAGUGAGGAAUUUUGCGCAAUGGGGGAAACCCUGACGCAGCAACGCCGCGUGAGUGAUGAAGGCUUUCGGGUCGUAAAGCUCUGUCAAGUGAGAAGAAUCUGCCCUUUGCUAAUAUCACUGGGCACUGACGGUAUCACUGAAGGAAGCACCGGCUAACUCCGUGCCAGCAGCCGCGGUAAUACGGAGG